This 429-nucleotide ribosomal RNA is filed under the name Chloroflexota bacterium. RNAcentral's name for it is "Chloroflexi bacterium partial 16S ribosomal RNA". It matches the Rfam family "Bacterial small subunit ribosomal RNA", at positions 355 to 776 of the family's 1533-position model. The record is from RNAcentral. Lineage: Bacteria; Bacillati; Chloroflexota.
UGGGGAAUAUUGCACAAUGGGCGCAAGCCUGAUGCAGCCAUGCCGCGUGUGUGAAGAAGGCCUUCGGGUUGUAAAGCACUUUCAGCGGGGAGGAAGGCGUUAAGGUUAAUAACCUUGGCGAUUGACGUUACCCGCAGAAGAAGCACCGGCUAACUCCGUGCCAGCAGCCGCGGUAAUACGGAGGGUGCAAGCGUUAAUCGGAAUUACUGGGCGUAAAGCGCACGCAGGCGGUCUGUCAAGUCGGAUGUGAAAUCCCCGGGCUCAACCUGGGAACUGCAUUCGAAACUGGCAGGCUAGAGUCUUGUAGAGGGGGGUAGAAUUCCAGGUGUAGCGGUGAAAUGCGUAGAGAUCUGGAGGAAUACCGGUGGCGAAGGCGGCGCCCUGGACAAAGACUGACGCUCAGGUGCGAAAGCGUGGGGAGCAAACAGG